This 98-nucleotide signal recognition particle RNA is filed under the name Alphaproteobacteria bacterium. RNAcentral describes it as "signal recognition particle sRNA small type". It matches the Rfam family "Bacterial small signal recognition particle RNA". From Rfam's summary of the family: The signal recognition particle (SRP) is a universally conserved ribonucleoprotein involved in the co-translational targeting of proteins to membranes. Archaeal SRP consists of a 7S RNA and homologues of the eukaryotic SRP19 and SRP54 proteins. Lineage: Bacteria; Pseudomonadati; Pseudomonadota; Alphaproteobacteria. The record is from RNAcentral.
AGAGGUUGGCGGCAGACGUAUCCUUCGCCAACCGGGUCAGGUCCGGAAGGAAGCAGCCCUAACGAAUUUGAUACGGGUUGCCUGUUCCAGCCUCUCAC